AGAGUUUGAUCCUGGCUCAGGAUGAACGCUAGCGGCAGGCUUAAUACAUGCAAGUCGAACGGCAGCGGGUCCAGCAAUGGAUGCCGGCGAGUGGCGCACGGGUGCGUAACACGUAUGCAACCUACCUUUAACCGGGACAUAACCUCGAGAAAUCGUGGCUAAUAUUCCAUAAUAUCUUUGAAUCGCAUGGUUUGAAGAUCAAAAUUCCGAUGGUUUUAGAUGGGCAUGCGCGACAUUAGCUAGUUGGUGAGGUAAUGGCUCACCAAGGCUACGAUGUUUAGGGGGUCUGAGAGGAUGAUCCCCCACACUGGUACUGAGACACGGACCAGACUCCUACGGGAGGCAGCAGUAAGGAAUAUUGGGCAAUGGGCGCAAGCCUGACCCAGCCAUGCCGCGUGCAGGAUGACAGCCCUACGGGUUGUAAACUGCUUUUAUACGGGAAAAAACCCUCUGACGUGUCAGAGGCUGAUGGUACCGUAAGAAUAAGCAUCGGCUAACUCCGUGCCAGCAGCCGCGGUAAUACGGAGGAUCCGAGCGUUAUCCGGAAUUAUUGGGUUUAAAGGGUGCGUAGGCGGCCAUUUAAGUCAGCGGUGAAAUUUUGCAGCUUAACUGUAACAGUGCCGUUGAUACUGUUUGGCUAGGAUUUGGUUGUAGUGUGCGGAAUGUGUGGUGUAGCGGUGAAAUGCUUAGAUAUCACACAGAACACCGAUUGCGAAGGCAGCACACUAAGUCAUUAUUGACGCUGAGGCACGAAAGUGUGGGGAUCAAACAGGAUUAGAUACCCUGGUAGUCCACACUGUAAACGAUGAUAACUCGCUGUCGGCGAUACACAGUCGGUGGCCAAGCGAAAGCAUUAAGUUAUCCACCUGGGGAGUACGACCGCAAGGUUGAAACCCAAAGGAAUUGACGGGGGCCUGCACAAGCGGUGGAGCAUGUGGUUUAAUUCGAUGAUACGCGAGAAACCUUACCAGGACUUGACAUGGACAGGAAUGGUCGUGAAAGCGAUCAGCUUUUCGGAGUCUGUUCACAGGUGCUGCAUGGCUGUCGUCAGCUCGUGCUGUGAAGUGUUGGGUUAAGUCCCGCAACGAGCGCAACCCCCGCUGUCUGUUGCUACCAAGUGAAGUUGGGCACUCAGACGGGACCGCCGGUGACAAACCGGAGGAAGGUGGGGAGGACGUCAAAUCAUCAUGCCCCUUAUGACCUGGGCUACACACGUGCUACAAUGGAUGGUACAACGAGGAGCGAACUCGCAAGGGCAAGCGAAUCUCUUAAAGCCAUUCUCAGUUCGGAUUGUUCUCUGCAACUCGAGAGCAUGAAGCCGGAAUCGCUAGUAAUCGCGGAUCAGCACGCCGCGGUGAAUACGUUCCCGGGUCUUGUACUCACCGCCCGUCAAG
This 1394-nucleotide ribosomal RNA is filed under the name uncultured bacterium. Its description in RNAcentral is "partial 16S ribosomal RNA". It matches the Rfam family "Bacterial small subunit ribosomal RNA". The record is from RNAcentral.